This is an RNA transcript of Priapulus caudatus, 5326 nucleotides long. It is a transcript of the gene named transcriptional adapter 2-beta-like, with no coding region annotated. The record is from RefSeq and is a predicted model, not a curated record. The transcript has 15 exons. NCBI's taxonomy places the organism in Eukaryota, Metazoa, Priapulida, Priapulimorpha, Priapulimorphida, Priapulidae.
GUCAUGACAGCCAAUGAAGAAGAAUGUCAUGGCGGAUAGGGCUUGGCCGUGAUGAAUAUAUAUCGGAAAAUCCGCCCAAUUUCGCUGCCUCGCCAAAUCAAAGUUUUUGAAGUGGCUUUAGCAGUUAGUUAGCCAUGUCUAAGCAGCGUUGUACAUACUGCCAGACGGACGUCAAGGGUGUAGGAUUGAAAUGUGUUGACUGUGAAAAUUUUGACCUUUGUUUACAGUGUGCAUCCUGUGGAGUUGAGAUAGGAAAACAUAAAAAAAAUCAUGAUUAUCAAAUUGUGGACAAUGGUAGAUUCUCUGUGUUUGAUACUAACUCGUCCUGGACGGCUGCGGAAGAGAUGCUCCUUCUUGAUGCCAUUGAACAAUAUGGCUUUGGAAAUUGGGAAGAUGCAGCAGCUCAUGUCGGGACUAAAACUGCAGAUGAAACAAGAGAUCAUUACUAUGCAUUUUUCAUACAUGGAAACAUAGGAAAGGUUACCUUGCCUACGGAGUCUGCAGUAGAUGUAACAGACCACACUUGUCCGAAUGGAGGUCCCCUAUCACCCAGUCUAGCUACAAAGGUGACAGCUGCUGAUGUGUCACCAGAGGACCAGAGACAGCUGGGGUUCAUGCCACUCAGGGAGGAUUUUGAAAGAGAGUAUGACAAUGAAGCGGAGACUCUAGUCAGUGUACUGAUGAUUACACAUGAAGAUGAUGACCUAGACAUAGCCGUGAAGAUGGCACAGGUGGACAUGUAUGUGCGGCGUUUGAGAGAGCGUGUACGGAGGAAGCGAAUAGUCGGUGAUUUCGGGCUAGUGCAACAGUUCUUCACAGCAAGUAAACAGAAGUCACCAGUUAAACGAAAGGAAUCCAAAGAAGAAAGAGAAUUCCAUGAUAAAAUGAGACCAUUUGCUCAGUUCCAGUCAGCCAUUGAGCGUGAGCAAUUUUUUGAUGACUUGCAGCAUGAGAAAAAACUAAAGUCUAGACACAAGGAGUUGGUGAGAUACAGAAAGCAUGGCAUUACUAAGUUUUCUGAAUUAGAUGAUUUUGAAAAGUCUCGAUUAUUAAUGGAGAAAAAAAAGGAGACAAGAAAAGCUGUGAGGUGGAAUGACCAUCGGCAUGUCCUUGGCAAGGCGAAGCACUUCAACCACAUCAACAACCAUGUCCUUAAAAAAGUCUGCAGCAGCAGCAGAAGAAAGCGGCGAACAAAAGUCGUCCUUGUUCGCAAAAGGCGGCGGCGGCAGUAACAACAUGGGUCCGCUGGAGAUCACCAGCCAGCAUGGAAACGACCUGCUGUCUGAGAGGGAGCAAAAGCUAUGCACUGCCAUGAACCUGAAGCCUGCUCACUAUGUAACCAUCAAGACCUGUCUCAUUAAGGAAAGCCUACGUAAGAAGCAUGGAGGUUCACUCAGAACCCACAGUAUUGAGGGCCUGAGUAGAAGCAACAAAAACAGACUCCUUAGCUUCUUUGCAGAGAGUGGCUGGAUAUCUGCAUGCUAAACAGUGCUGCCACCUGCAAGGAAUACCAAGAUGUUUUCGAAUACGUUUUCCAUAGUCUAUUGAGGAAGAAUAUAUUUAUUACCUCUCAAAUCAAAUUACUUGUAGUCCAUCACCACAUGUCAUGCUGUUUUAUUGGAAAGUUUGCUGGCUUCGCAGCAGUCGAAUCUAAACACUUCCACUGCCCUAGAACCACAACUUUAUUCACCACACACCCUCAAAGUUGAACUAUUGUCAGUCAUGCGUUGUCUCAGGCUUUAGGAUAAUCUGUUUUCUUAUACAUGUACGAAGUAUCAGCCUCUUCUAAAAUGGUUGUUAUCAAAUUGACCAGUGUAUGUCACACCACUUCAGAUACUGCAUGUUAUGUUAUGUAGCAAAAGUCAUUGGCCUCGUCUUGUGCAUUACUUGGCAUUUCUGCUUUUUGUGGAGGAAGCAUGGACAUUCCAGCUGCUACGGUGAAUAGCGCCACUCCCAUAUUAUGUCCACAUUCCAGAUGAAUAGCUGAGCAAUGAGUAGGUGCACUGUGAGAGCGCUCUAAGAAAAGUGUGGAUGAUUUCCAUUGGCUUCGCUCUGUUAUAACCGUGGGGUAAAGCAAUAAAUAUCAGUGCUUUAAACAGCAGAUCAGCAAUACUGUUUGCCACGAUGAUAAACUGUUAUGAAGCCAGCCAGCAGCAGCUGUAGCACCUGCACUUGUGAGUGCUUUCACAGGCACAGCUGCAUAAGCGCUAUGUGUACGGAUCGGGUGCCACCUCUGCGAUGAGCCCAUUGGAAGAAUGUGCAGUCUGGAAUUGGGCGGCAUAGCAGAACUAUGGUGGCAUCAGCAGAGGCCCAAGGUGGUGCACUGAUACAGAUGAUCGGUGUUUGUACAUCGUUAGUAUUGUGUCGAGUUACACUGCUCAUUCUCAAUCGCAAGUACAAGCGGUAACCCUUUGCGCACCCACCGAGGCAGGCGCUCAUGUUUAGGCAGGAAGUUUCUGUGCUUAGACUGUGCAUGUGAGAUGCGUGAUGCGCAGCGUUAGGGCGCCGGCUACGCGCGCAAUACAGGGAAGCAGUGCAUGGGUGGUCUUCAUUGCGCAUCGAGUCAUCGUGGCCGUAUGUUUAAAGUACAGCACUCGGUGGGCACGGUCGGCUGUUGAAAGCCAGCCACCUUUUCGUUGACAGUGACGUUGGCGUGACAAAAUGUAAAUCCACUCUUACAUGCGUUAUGUGACUUGAGCAGUGGAGAACUUAUGGACACACCUCGUCGCUGGCUGAGCAUUGAAACCCUCCUGCCUGAGUAGAUUUUGGUGUAUCCAUUCGCUCUCCCUCUGAUGCAGCGAGUUAUUGAAACUAAUAUACGCCCCCACCUUUGCUAGAAUUUCAUCUUGGUAUGAACGGGCUACCAUAUGCUUGGCGAGACACGCGUUUGCUACAGCAAACCAUUUUUGCUUGGGUGGGUGGGGGGUGGGUGGGUGCGGCGGUUGAGUUUUAACGGGCGUGUCUGGGGUGUAUCAGGGCCAUCUAGUUACUUGAAAGCCACUGUUAUAAGGAGGCGGUGGUUCCUGGACCCACUUGUACUGUGCACCGAAAUGUUGUUCCUAAUGGUUUUACUGCUGUUGGGAAAUUUCUUUCAUUUUCCUUUACGUAGGUUUGUGUCUGUUUUACCGUGAUGGGUUUCGAUGAGGUUGUUUUCAUUUAUUCAGUUGUUCAUUCGAGUCAGUGCUUAGCGGCGGUUGUUGCAUGCUCUCGUAUUGCUUUUUUUAUUUGAUAAAGAAGCACGUUUGAAAAACAGGAAAGUGCAGAUAUCAUAAACGAAUGGUUUAUUUCUCCCUGUAAAGCGCUCAAAUUGCCCUGCAGUGCAUAAGAAACUCCUGUGUUUUAUGCCAUGUUCAAAGAUACCAGUUUAGUUUCAGUUAGUUUCAGUGACGUUCUAAACGCCUAUUAUUAGAUUCCGUGCCAUCCGUAUGAUGUCAUAAACAUGCCUCAUUUGAGCAUGGGUUUCAUAUUUCGCGUUUCUCUUUUAUUGCGCAUAUGCCCACUUUGUAAUAGUAGACUUGUUUUGUGAAAUUUAAUCCAACUAAUGUUUGUUGGGUGUUCAAGGGUUCCAGCAACUUGCCAAAAAUAUCCUGGUCGGUCGGUAUACAGAGGUUCUUUAGUAGAUCCAUAUAGAUUAUUAAUUUUUUAAGCAAGUAGUAAUUGGCUGAUCGGUGUCCCAGUUCUGCAACAUAUUGGUUUUUCGCACAUAAUCGCACUGCCUAUGGUGAGUGAUCAUCCAUGUAUAUAAAAGCUGUAAACUAAAAUAUUUAUUGUGUAUAUAUUUCGUAAAGAAGACAUCAAAUUAUACGUGGCACGGCGCAUUUUCUACAUCAUCUCCACUGUUUGUAAUGAAACUGCAAAAUGUAUUUUUGUAAACGAUCAGCUGGAUACGUGUAUAAUUUACAUGUGGUCAGCAUUAAUGUGUGUUGAGUUGUAGUAAUUUAGUAUGAAGUUUCCUUUUAAACUUAACACCGGAAAAUUUAGUUGAUACUUAGGAAGCCAUUUCACAUAGGUUCUCGUGAAUUGUCAUCUCAUAGGUCGUCUUAUCGUGCGAUUUUUAUGUGUUUGAGCAGGUGAUGCCUUCUUAUAUAAGCGUUGAUAUCACAACCGUGUUGUGAACGUGGCAGUACUGCUAAUUUUUAUCGUAGGAUAUCGGUGAACAUGGUGGCUAGUUCUCUGUUUUUGUAUAAUUUCAUGUUCAACAAGUGAUUUAAAUAUAUGUUUGUCCGUACAAAUCAUUUUUCGAUGUGUUCUACAUGGAAACAGUUCUUCCUGAAUUCUGGUGGAUUGCUGUCAGUUUUUUUGUUUUUACCGCACCAGUUCGUUGUAACAUCACUAGUUUAGUAGCCAUUCGGAUACUACGGUUUAUGUAGUGUCGUAGAGCCCCACCCGUGUGUCAUUGUGAUGUUAAACCUUGUUUGUGUGUAAUGCGCACGUAUUUUGAAUCACCCUGUUAGCCUUUCGUGCACUGUUUUUUAGUCGUUCUGCAUAGUCAUGUAUUUAUAUUAGCAUAGAACACGGGAAAGUAUCAGAGCAAUGUUUGUUGUCACACUCACAUAUAAGGUUUCUAUUUUCAACGGGCAACUAAAUAAUUGUAAUGGCGUGCAUAAAUGAUUUCCACUGUCUGUCUAUAUAUGUAUGCAAAUACAACUGUUUACAUAUGUACGUGUGCUUGUUUAUGGCAAAAUGUUUACAAUCUGUAAUAAUGCAGAGGUGGCAUUUCACACCCACCCUGUCACGCGUAGACGCAAAUCUUGCAUCUUAUAGGAUGUUGCCAAGAAUAUAUCAGACCAAUUUUCUCAUCUAUGUGCGAUGUCACACAUUCGCAGCACAUGCCAUGUCUUUUGCUGCUCUGUCAGCUACCGCAAGUUAGUUCGCGAAACGUGUUGGUUGCGUGUGUGAAAGAAAGAUUCAUUUAAUUUGUUGGAAAAUUUUGAAAACAAGAUGGGCAUAUUAUGGUUAUAACACUUCGCAUUUAUAAGUUGGUAUAUUUCUCAUCUCAGUGCCUAGGUUAAAAGCAUCAGACUUACUGUAUGAUAGGUCGCAGGUGAAAUUAGUGUGGUAUUGUGUUCUCUGAAUUACAUUUCAAGAAUGUAACGAAUGUUUCUUGGCGAGGUUUAUUUUCUAUCAAGUGUUAUAAUGUUAGGUCUGCAUGGCGUCUCAUAUAUUUAUGCAUCUUGCAGGGAUGCGUGCCACAGUGGCUGGUUUUAUGUAUAACCCAGGUACGAGCGCGCAUUGUGGCGUUAUUGUUGAUGCAUUGUCGGCAUGAGAUACCCAGUGUAAAUACGCAAUUCAUUUGUACCUAACAAUAAAACUAUUUAAAAAAUAA